AUACGAAGGUCCCGAGCGUUAUUCGGAAUCACUGGGCGUAAAGAGUAUGUAGGCGGUUUGGUAAGUCAGGUGUGAAAUCCCGGAGCUCAACUUCGGAACUGCAUCCGAUACUGCCGGACUAGAGUAAUGGAGAGGCAGGUGGAAUUCUCGGUGUAGCAGUGAAAUGCGUGGAUAUCGAGAGGAAGACCAAUGGCGAAGGCAGCCUGCUGGACAUUUACUGACGCUGAGAUACGAAGGCUAGGGGAGCGAAAGGGAUUAGAUACCCCGGUAGUCC
RNAcentral lists this ribosomal RNA (274 nucleotides) under uncultured bacterium. RNAcentral describes it as "partial 16S ribosomal RNA". It matches the Rfam family "Bacterial small subunit ribosomal RNA", at positions 523 to 796 of the family's 1533-position model. The record is from RNAcentral.